RNAcentral lists this ribosomal RNA (465 nucleotides) under uncultured bacterium. RNAcentral describes it as "partial 16S ribosomal RNA". It matches the Rfam family "Bacterial small subunit ribosomal RNA", at positions 339 to 795 of the family's 1533-position model. The record is from RNAcentral.
CUACGGGAUGCAGCAGUAGGGAAUCUUCGGCAAUGGACGGAAGUCUGACCGAGCAACGCCGCGUGAGUGAAGAAGGUUUUCGGAUCGUAAAGCUCUGUUGUAAGAGAAGAACGAGUGUGAGAGUGGAAAGUUCACACUGUGACGGUAUCUUACCAGAAAGGGACGGCUAACUACGUGCCAGCAGCCGCGGUAAUACGUAGGGUCCCGAGCGUUGUCCGGAUUUAUUGGGCGUAAAGCGAGCGCAGGCGGUUAGAUAAGUCUGAAGUUAAAGGCUGUGGCUUAACCAUAGUACGCUUUGGAAACUGUUUAACUUGAGUGCAGAAGGGGAGAGUGGAAUUCCAUGUGUAGCGGUGAAAUGCGUAGAUAUAUGGAGGAACACCGGUGGCGAAAGCGGCUCUCUGGUCUGUAACUGACGCUGAGGCUCGAAAGCGUGGGGAGCAAACAGGAUUAGAUACCCCUGUAGUC